This 338-nucleotide ribosomal RNA is filed under the name Escherichia coli. RNAcentral's name for it is "bacterial LSU rRNA". It matches the Rfam family "Bacterial large subunit ribosomal RNA", at positions 2610 to 2925 of the family's 2925-position model. The record is from RNAcentral. Lineage: Bacteria; Pseudomonadati; Pseudomonadota; Gammaproteobacteria; Enterobacterales; Enterobacteriaceae.
UUUAGAACGUCGUGAGACAGUUCGGUCCCUAUCUGCCGUGGGCGCUGGAGAACUGAGGGGGGCUGCUCCUAGUACGAGAGGACCGGAGUGGACGCAUCACUGGUGUUCGGGUUGUCAUGCCAAUGGCACUGCCCGGUAGCUAAAUGCGGAAGAGAUAAGUGCUGAAAGCAUCUAAGCACGAAACUUGCCCCGAGAUGAGUUCUCCCUGACUCCUUGAGAGUCCUGAAGGAACGUUGAAGACGACGACGUUGAUAGGCCGGGUGUGUAAGCGCAGCGAUGCGUUGAGCUAACCGGUACUAAUGAACCGUGAGGCUUAACCUUACAACGCCGAAGCUGUU